RNAcentral lists this ribosomal RNA (486 nucleotides) under uncultured bacterium. Its description in RNAcentral is "partial 16S ribosomal RNA". It matches the Rfam family "Bacterial small subunit ribosomal RNA", at positions 30 to 507 of the family's 1533-position model. The record is from RNAcentral.
AUUGAACGCUGGCGGCAUGCCUUACACAUGCAAGUCGAACGGCAGCACGGGUGCUUGCACCUGGUGGCGAGUGGCGAACGGGUGAGUAAUACAUCGGAACAUGUCCUGUAGUGGGGGAUAGCCCGGCGAAAGCCGGAUUAAUACCGCAUACGAUCCACGGAUGAAAGCGGGGGACCUUCGGGCCUCGCGCUAUAGGGUUGGCCGAUGGCUGAUUAGCUAGUUGGUGGGGUAAAGGCCUACCAAGGCGACGAUCAGUAGCUGGUCUGAGAGGUCGACCAGCCACACUGGGACUGAGACACGGCCCAGACUCCUACGGGAGGCAGCAGUGGGGAAUUUUGGACAAUGGGCGAAAGCCUGAUCCAGCAAUGCCGCGUGUGUGAAGAAGGCCUUCGGGUUGUAAAGCACUUUUGUCCGGAAAGAAAUCCUUGACUCUAAUACAGUCGGGGGAUGACGGUACCGGAAGAAUAAGCACCGGCUAACUACGUG